CUGGGUAGUAGUAACCAGCAGGCACAGCUAGCACACAGCAUUGUACAGGUGAGGAUACUGGGUAGUAGUAACCAGCAGGCACAGCUAGCACACAACAUUGUACAGGUAGGGAUACUGGGUAGUAGUAACCAGCAGGCACAGCUAGCACACAACAUUGUACAGGUGAGGAUACUGGGUAGUAGUAACCAGC
This is a long non-coding RNA of Dreissena polymorpha, 190 nucleotides long. RefSeq lists it as uncharacterized. Lineage: Eukaryota; Metazoa; Mollusca; Bivalvia; Myida; Dreissenidae. The record is from RefSeq and is a predicted model, not a curated record. The transcript is spliced from 3 exons.